RNAcentral lists this ribosomal RNA (341 nucleotides) under uncultured Pseudomonadota bacterium. RNAcentral's name for it is "bacterial SSU rRNA". It matches the Rfam family "Bacterial small subunit ribosomal RNA", at positions 29 to 351 of the family's 1533-position model. The record is from RNAcentral. Lineage: Bacteria; Pseudomonadati; Pseudomonadota.
AAUGAACGCUGGCGGCGUGCUUAACACAUGCAAGUCGAACGAGAAAGGGAUUGCUUGCAAUCCUGAGUAGAGUGGCGCACGGGUGAGUAACACGUAGAUAAUCUACCUUUGAACCCGGGAUAACUAGUCGAAAGGUUAGCUAAUACCGGAUGAGGUUAAUAGACGUAGGUUUAUUGAUGAAAGAUUGCCUAUCCUUGGAAGCAAUUGUUUGAAGAUGAGUUUGCGGACCAUUAGUUAGUUGGUGGGGUAAAGGCCUACCAAGACGAUGAUGGUUAGCUGGUCUGAGAGGAUGAUCAGCCACACUGGAACUGAAACACGGUCCAGACUCCUACGGGAGGCUG